GCUACCUGAUGCCUUGCCAGCUUCGUUAUUGAUUAGCUAAACGAAAGCGGCGUGCGUCAUCACGCGCGUGAAUAACUAUCUGAUUUCU
RNAcentral lists this non-coding RNA (88 nucleotides) under unclassified sequences. RNAcentral's name for it is "Peptidase-S11 RNA". It matches the Rfam family "Peptidase-S11 RNA". Rfam says of the family: Enterobacteria. The record is from RNAcentral.